UACGUAGGGACCGAGCGUUGUCCGGAAUCAUUGGGCGUAAAGAGCGUGUAGGCGGCCACUUAAGUCCUGCGUGAAAUCUUGCGGCUCAACCGCAAGCGGUCGUGGGAAACUGGGUGGCUAGAGUCCGGAAGAGGCGAGUGGAAUUCCUGGUGUAGCGGUGGAAUGCGCAGAUAUCAGGAGGAACACCGAUAGCGAAGGCAGCUCGCUGGGACGGUACUGACGCUGAGGCGCGAAAGCGUGGGGAGCGAACAGG
This 253-nucleotide ribosomal RNA is filed under the name uncultured bacterium. RNAcentral's name for it is "partial 16S ribosomal RNA". It matches the Rfam family "Bacterial small subunit ribosomal RNA", at positions 524 to 776 of the family's 1533-position model. The record is from RNAcentral.